GCAGGCUUAACACAUGCAAGUCGAGGGGUAACAUUGUGCUUGCACAGAUGACGACCGGCGCACGGGUGCGUAACGCGUAUAGAACCUACCUUUUACAGAGGAAUAGCCUUUAGAAAUGAAGAUUAAUGCCUCAUAGUAUUGUAGACUGGCAUCAGUUUAUAAUUAAAGAUUUAUCGGUAAAAGAUGGCUAUGCGUCCUAUUAGUUAGUUGGUAAGGUAACGGCUUACCAAGACAGCGAUAGGUAGGGGUCCUGAGAGGGAGAUCCCCCACACUGGUACUGAGACACGGACCAGACUCCUACGGGAGGCAGCAGUGAGGAAUAUUGGACAAUGGAGGAGACUCUGAUCCAGCCAUGCCGCGUGUAGGAAGAAUGCCCUAUGGGUUGUAAACUACUUUUAUACAGGAAGAAACACUGGUAUGUAUACCAGCUUGACGGUACUGUAAGAAUAAGGACC
Molecule: ribosomal RNA, 455 nt
Filed under: uncultured Polaribacter sp.
Lineage: Bacteria; Pseudomonadati; Bacteroidota; Flavobacteriia; Flavobacteriales; Flavobacteriaceae
Description: bacterial SSU rRNA
Rfam family: Bacterial small subunit ribosomal RNA
Source: RNAcentral